RNAcentral lists this long non-coding RNA (518 nucleotides) under Homo sapiens (human). RNAcentral's name for it is "non-protein coding lnc-TMEM50B-2:15". Lineage: Eukaryota; Metazoa; Chordata; Mammalia; Primates; Hominidae. The record is from RNAcentral.
GCUGUGUUUUAAGUUUUUUACAGGCUGGUGGAUAAUGAUUGAUGCAGCUGUGGUGUAUCCUAAGCCAGAACAGUUGAACCAUGCCUUUCACACAUGUGGUGUAUUUUCCACAUUGGCUUUCUUCAUGAUAAAUGCUGUAUCCAAUGCUCAGGUGAGAGGUGAUAGCUAUGAAAGCGGCUGUUUAGGAAGAACAGGUAAAGAUACUUUGAGCUGUUAAUGGGUGUUGACAAAACAGAAAUUUGUCACCAGAAAAAAAGCCUCUCUUGUGAGUCUUUAUUCAAGACUGGUAAUGAUUAUAUAGAAUAUUUUUUAUUUGCUUUAAAACAAAGUUUUAGUGUUAUUCAAAUCCUUAAGAAAGUAAGUUAUUGCUAGAAGUUACUGUUUUUGUCAUGUUACACUGCCCAUGAUAUAGAUAAAAAAUGUUGCUAUUCAAAUGGAUCUUGGACUCCAGUGCUAAUGAUGGAUUUAUUAUUAUCCCAAUUGUUGACCAAUAAUGUUACUUACAAGAUGGCUGACUA